This 454-nucleotide ribosomal RNA is filed under the name uncultured bacterium. Its description in RNAcentral is "partial 16S ribosomal RNA". It matches the Rfam family "Bacterial small subunit ribosomal RNA", at positions 28 to 507 of the family's 1533-position model. The record is from RNAcentral.
GAUGAACGCUGACAGAAUGCUUAACACAUGCAAGUCCACUUGAACUUCGGUUUGGGUGGCGGACGGGUGAGUAACGCGUAAAGAACUUGCCUCACAGAUAGGGACAACAUUUGGAAACGAAUGCUAAUACCUGAUAUUAUGAUUAUAUGGCAUCGUAUAAUUAUGAAAGCUAUAUGCGCUGUGAGAGAGCUUUGCGUCCCAUUAGCUAGUUGGAGAGGUAACGGCUCACCAAGGCGAUGAUGGGUAGCCGGCCUGAGAGGGUGAUCGGCCACAAGGGGACUGAGACACGGCCCUUACUCCUACGGGAGGCAGCAGUGGGGAAUAUUGGACAAGGGACCAAGAGUCUGAUCCAGCAAUUCUGUGUGCACGAUGAAGUUUUUCGGAAUGUAAAGUGCUUUCAGUUGGGAAGAAAAAAAUGACGGUACCAACAGAAGAAGUGACGGCUAAAUACGUG